This is a long non-coding RNA of Lutra lutra (Eurasian river otter), 146 nucleotides long. RefSeq lists it as uncharacterized. NCBI's taxonomy places the organism in Eukaryota, Metazoa, Chordata, Mammalia, Carnivora, Mustelidae. The transcript is spliced from 3 exons. The record is from RefSeq and is a predicted model, not a curated record.
CAUUAUAAUUUGACUGCUUCAAUCCAUUGUAGUGAUAGACAGUAAAAGACUCUGGACCACUGGAGCCCUAUUAUAAAUAAAAUACUAUUAAAGUUUUAAAGUUUACUUUUAUACUUCGAAAGGAAAAUUCAAUUGAAAGGAAAAUU